GUGUAACCUUAGCUUUACUACACGAUCUGCAAGAGUAGGCAGCCAAAAUGGAGUCCAAAUGUUGAGCCCCUCGGAAAUCCCACAAAGGGACUGGUUCCCCUCUGACUUCACCUUCGGUGCCGCCACUUCAGCGUACCAAGUAUAAUUUUCUAGCGCGAAUGUUGUUUAUUACGUCUCUGUUAGAUAUAUACAUAUAUGAAAAGAAACUACUGUAGUUCACUGUUACAUAAUGGCAGCUGAUUUAUAUAUAUACCUAAACCAAAAAGGAGUUGAUAUAUGUGUGUGUGCGCACGCGCGCGAAACGUAUUGUAUUCUAGCUAAUUAAUUAAUUGUUUGAUACAUGCUAAAGUGAAAUGAUAUAUCUUGGUAGAUUGAAGGUGCUUGGAAUGAAGAUGGAAAGGGGGAAAGCAACUGGGAUCACUUCUGCCACAAUCAUCCGGGUAAGGUUCAUAUAUAUACCCCAGCUUUGAUUAAUUAGCUUGUUUUUGUUUGUUCAUAAUUAAUAACAUCAUACGUUAUAUCCUUGUUUAUUUCCUUAUUUUUUUAUGCCUCUUUCAUGUGCAUAUCAAUAGAAAGGAUACUGGACGGGAGCAAUUCAGACAUUGGAGCGAAUUCGUACCAUAUGUACAAAGUAAGUCCACUCCCGGCCCGUAGGAAUUCGGAGCGGAGACACCUUUAAUUUUGCAAUAUGAGUUUCGGGCAGUUUCAGAUCCCAUUUUUCUUUUACCCAAAUAUUCGGCCGCCUGGAUCCGAAACAGGCAGCAGCCCCGCCGCGGGAAAAAUUUCUUUGCCCAUGGAGCUCAUGAUCUGUAAUUUGGCCUGUUGUUGGACCGCCAUGGAGCUCUCCAACAUGAAGCUAAUCAUCAUUGACAACAUCCAAGAUGUAAAAAUGAUUAUAGAACAAUAUAACAUAUAAUAUUUCUUAUGGAAGUUUUAAAUAUUAUGUUAUUAGUCUAUUACAAACCUGAAAAAAAAACAAAGGAGUCCACAGUUUUCAAAUUAAUAUUAGGUCGGACAUGAACUAUUUCCUUGCGCAGGAAAUAUUUUCUGCUUAUUAUUCUAAGCUAAAAUUUUGGAUCUCGGUUGGAAAGGUUGUCCUUUUCUUGUGUGAAAUAGGAUGAAAUUUUGGGUAACCAGCUGACAUAAUGUUUGUUUGCAGUUAACUCUCUUAAACAUGUAAAAAUGGUUAUAGAAGAAUAUAUUUCGUAUCGUGGAGAUCCUUUUCGAGCAAAAUAACUGUUGAUGUAUACGCACUUCUAACUAAAAAUGUCUGCGAAUAUAUAUUAUUGCUACCAUUUUUGAUAUCAGCAUUUUUAAAUGUGCAGACGGACGUCAGAUUGCUCAAGGAAAUGGGCAUGGACGCAUAUAGGUUCUCUAUCUCUUGGCCCAGAAUACUGCCGAGUAAGUAUAUAUAUAGUAAAAUAAUCAAAUAUGUCUCAUAUGGUAAAAAAGUUAGAAACGGACGAACAGUAAAAAUGAUCUGUACAACUAAAAUGCAUUCAGAGUUUUCGGAUCGCGUUACAAUGCUAAUUUCAACAUAACGACUUUCAGAGGGAACCAAAGAAGGAGGUAUUAACCCGGAUGGCAUCAAGUACUACAGAAACCUCAUCAACUUGUUGCUGGAAAACGGUAAAACCCCAUUUCUCUAUCAGGCUCGUUUAGCAGCCUCAUUAGUAUUAUUUAUGGGAGAUUGUAAUCCAGUGUGCAAAAGUUUUCACGAAUCAUUCUUUAUUCAUGGCAAUCCAGGCAUAGAGCCAUAUGUAACAAUUUUCCACUGGGAUGUACCUCAAGCACUAGAAGAGAAGUACGGCGGCUUCCUAGAUAAGAGUCAUAAGAGCAUUGUGUAAGUAGUACACACCCAGCUUAAUUGAUAUUCUCCUAUCUAUCAUCGUUGUUCAGUCUAGUUGCUCUUAUUCCGUCGACAUACAAAAUAAAAAAAUACUGUUACUUACAUUUUGAUUUUGGACAAUGAAUUUGUGUGCCCAAUAUUAAAAAAACAUUAUCUAGGCAGACUACAAACAUUGUUGUAUUGUCAUUCAUGGAAGUGUUAUAUGCUAAUAUGCUAUCACAUUUUUUCAGAGAAGAUUACACCUACUUCGCUAAGGUGUGCUUUGAUAACUUCGGCGACAAGGUGAAGAAUUGGUUGACCUUUAAUGAGCCCCAGACAUUUACUUCCUUUUCCUACGGAACUGGGGUCUUUGCCCCAGGGCGGUGCUCACCUGGACUAGACUGUGCCUACCCAACUGGG
This 2248-nucleotide long non-coding RNA is filed under the name Zea mays. Its description in RNAcentral is "long non-coding RNA (ZMAY_LNC000304)". Lineage: Eukaryota; Viridiplantae; Streptophyta; Magnoliopsida; Poales; Poaceae. The record is from RNAcentral.